RNAcentral lists this transfer RNA (67 nucleotides) under Marmota monax (woodchuck). RNAcentral's name for it is "tRNA.Ala". The record is from RNAcentral. Lineage: Eukaryota; Metazoa; Chordata; Mammalia; Rodentia; Sciuridae.
GGUUCUAGCUCAGUGGUAGAGCACUUGCCUAGCAUGUGUGAGGCAUUGGGUUCAAUCCUCAGCACCA